UAUUAUCUUCAUCAUGAUACAAAAUUAACACAAAUUUAAACCCAAAAGUUAAAAAAGAAAUGCACAUGUUGUGAACUGUGUGAUAGUGUUUCCAACGCUUAGCCCCGUCGCCCUUACCGCCACCAAGCUUCUCCGAUCACCGUUGAGGUCAAUUGUAUCUACUUGUUGUCAAUACUGAUCUCUCUUGAAAGUAAUUGUAUAUCAAAACCUAAAUAUUUUUCAACCUUCCACCUUCAUUUUACUGGAAACUGCUGCAUUGAAGUUUUUUUUUUUUACUCGAUGCUAUUCAACUUUGAGAAAUCUGCAGCCAAAACAAUUAGAAAGGCGCUCAGACCUAUUGAAGAAUCAAUCUCACCAUUUAGUUACAAGAUCCCUUGUCUUCCUUUCUCGCACAUUCAGAGGUUUAAUUAUGUUAAUGUGUACAUGAAAUGGAAAAAAGAUUCAUACUAUGACUCGAUUGAGCACAUUCACCACUCUAUUCAGCUCAAGCCCGUAAUUGCCCUAAAAAACUGCAUUGCCCAAGAUCCCAAUGGGUGCAUCCCUAUCUCUUCAGUGUCAAAGAGGGGAUUGCAGUUAGAUGUGCCUAUGAAGGUUGCAAGAUUUUUGAGGCAAUAUCCAUCCAUUUUUGAAGAGUUUACAGGUCCUAAGUAUAAUCAUCCUUGGUUUAGAUUGACACCUGAAGCUGCUGAGAUUGACAGGGAUGAGAAAAGAGUAUAUGAAGAAAGUAGAGAGGAAUUAAGAUCCAGGUUGAAGAAGAUGAUAUUGAUGACGAAAGAGAAUGUUUUACCUUUGAAGAUAAUUCAGGGGAUGCAAUGGUAUUUGGGGUUACCUCACGAUUUUUUGCAGCACCAUGAACAAAAUCUCGAUGAUUCUUUCAGGUUUGUAGAGAUGGAAGAUGGACUGAAGGGGUUGGCUAUUGAAAGCAGAGAGAGGGUUUAUUCGGUAAUGGAGGAAAAUGCCAUGAAAAAAGGUAUGUACUAUGACGGUUCACAGACGGAAGCGAUUGAAUUUCCUUUUUUUCCAUCGAAGGCUUUAAGGAUGAAAACUAAGAUCGAAAAUUGGCUUCAUGAGUUUCAGAAGCUACCUUAUAUUUCACCAUAUGAUGAUUUCUCGAAUUUGGAUCCAAACAGUGACAUAGCAGAGAAAAGACUUAUUGGUGUUCUUCACGAACUUCUUUCUCUAUUUAUCGAUCAUUCAGCAGAGAGAAGAAAACUCCUUUGCCUCAAGAAGUAUUUUGGCUUUCCACAGAAAGUGCACAGAGCAUUUGAGCGGCAUCCCCAUAUGUUUUACAUGUCUAUGAGGAAUAAAACAUGUACCGUCAUUCUUAAAGAAGCUUAUUGCAAUGAAUUGGCUAUCGAGAAUCAUCCUCUAUUGAGUGUGAGGAAGAGAUACAUCAAGUUGAUGAAGGAAUCGGAAGUGAUUUUAAGGAACAGAAGGAUGAACAGUCGAUUUUCUAAUAGUGAAAAACUCGAUUUAGAGUCAAAUGAUCUGGAUGAAGGGGAACAUAAGAUUGAAGGUUUUUCCUUGGAGCAGGUUAUCUGAAAAUAGUAGUAACAAGAGUUAAGAAUUAGUAGAAAGGCAUAUCAGCUAUUUUUGGUAUGACAUGGUAGCACAUGGUAUUCAGUGCAUCUGGUAUCUUAACCUUGAGUUUGAUGCAGGGCAUUGUAAAAUUAUUCGAAUGCCCUUCUGGCCAUCUGUACAACAGGAAUGAAACUCAAAGCUUUGAUGCUUUCCUUUUUUAGUUGAUGGAAUUUUACAUUCUGUUUUAACAAAUGUUGCUACAUUGUAACAAAUAAUUAUAUAUAUUAUAAUACUAUAGCCAUUAAAGUAGGUUAGUGAUAUAAAGGACAUCACGUCUUUUUCCUUUCU
Medicago truncatula (barrel medic) is the source of this 1869-nucleotide RNA transcript. It is a transcript of the gene named protein WHAT'S THIS FACTOR 9, mitochondrial, with no coding region annotated. Lineage: Eukaryota; Viridiplantae; Streptophyta; Magnoliopsida; Fabales; Fabaceae. The record is from RefSeq and is a predicted model, not a curated record. The transcript is spliced from 3 exons.